GUGCUCGCUUCAGCUGCAUGUACACUAAAACUGGAAUGAUACAGAGAAGGUUAGCAUGGCCCCUGCACAAUGACAGGCAAAUUUGUGAAGCGUUCCAUGUUAAA
Small nuclear RNA from Pteronotus mesoamericanus, 104 nucleotides. The record is from RefSeq and is a predicted model, not a curated record. Lineage: Eukaryota; Metazoa; Chordata; Mammalia; Chiroptera; Mormoopidae.